This 788-nucleotide ribosomal RNA is filed under the name uncultured bacterium. RNAcentral's name for it is "bacterial SSU rRNA". It matches the Rfam family "Bacterial small subunit ribosomal RNA", at positions 28 to 776 of the family's 1533-position model. The record is from RNAcentral.
GACGAACGCUGGCGGCGUGCCUAAUACAUGCAAGUCGAGCGAGCUUGCCUAGAUGAUUUUAGUGCUUGCACUAAAUGAAACUAGAUACAAGCGAGCGGCGGACGGGUGAGUAACACGUGGGUAACCUGCCCAAGAGACUGGGAUAACACCUGGAAACAGAUGCUAAUACCGGAUAACAACACUAGACGCAUGUCUAGAGUUUGAAAGAUGGUUCUGCUAUCACUCUUGGAUGGACCUGCGGUGCAUUAGCUAGUUGGUAAGGUAACGGCUUACCAAGGCAAUGAUGCAUAGCCGAGUUGAGAGACUGAUCGGCCACAUUGGGACUGAGACACGGCCCAAACUCCUACGGGAGGCAGCAGUAGGGAAUCUUCCACAAUGGACGAAAGUCUGAUGGAGCAACGCCGCGUGAGUGAAGAAGGGUUUCGGCUCGUAAAGCUCUGUUGGUAGUGAAGAAAGAUAGAGGUAGUAACUGGCCUUUAUUUGACGGUAAUUACUUAGAAAGUCACGGCUAACUACGUGCCAGCAGCCGCGGUAAUACGUAGGUGGCAAGCGUUGUCCGGAUUUAUUGGGCGUAAAGCGAGUGCAGGCGGUUCAAUAAGUCUGAUGUGAAAGCCUUCGGCCCAACCGGAGAAUUGCAUCAGAAACUGUUGAACUUGAGUGCAGAAGAGGAGAGUGGAACUCCAUGUGUAGCGGUGGAAUGCGUAGAUAUAUGGAAGAACACCAGUGGCGAAGGCGGCUCUCUGGUCUGCAACUGACGCUGAGGCUCGAAAGCAUGGGUAGCGAACAGG